UAACAAGGAUUCCCCUAGUAACUGCGAGUGAAGCGGGAAAAGCUCAAAUUUAAAAUCUGRCGGUCUCUGAUCGUCCGAGUUGUAACCUGAAGGAGCGUUUUCAGUGCCGAACCGUGUACAAGUCUCCUGGAACGGAGCGUCAUAGAGGGUGAGAAUCCCGUCCAUGACACGGACGCUCGGUGCUUUGUGAUACGCUCCCGAAGAGUCGCGUUGUUUGGGAAUGCAGCGCAAAAUGGGUGGUAAAUUCCAUCUAAAGCUAAAUAUUGGCGAGAGACCGAUAGCGAACAAGUACCGUGAGGGAAAGAUGAAAAGCACUUUGGAAAGAGAGUUAAACAGUACGUGAAAUUGUUGAAAGGGAAACGCUUGAAGUCAGUCGCGUCUUGUGAAACUCAGCCUUGCUUCGGCCUGGUGUACUUUUCACUAAGACGGGUCAACAUCAAUUUCGACCGGUGGACAAAGGCGAGGGGAAUGUAGCGUCGUUUCGACGACGUGUUAUAGCCCCUUGUCAGAUACACCGACUGGGAUUGAGGACCGCAGCGCGCCCUUGUGGUCGGGGGUUCGCCCCACGUACCGCGCUUAGGAUGUUGGCAUAAUGGCUUUAAGCGACCCGUCUUGAAACACGGACCAAGGAGUCUAACAUGCUUGCGAGUGUUCGGGUGGAAAACCCUUGCGCGUAAUGAAAGUGAAAGUUGGGAGCCUCCGCAAGGGGGUGCACCGACGCCCGGCCCAGACGUUCUCUGACGGUGCUGCGGUAGAGCAAGUGUGUUGGGACCCGAAAGAUGGUGAACUAUGCCUGAAUAGGGCGAAGCCAGAGGAAACUCUGGUGGAGGCUCGUAGCGAUUCUGACGUGCAAAUCGAUCGUCAAAUUUGGG
This 872-nucleotide ribosomal RNA is filed under the name Fomitiporella sp. LWZ 20140721-2. RNAcentral describes it as "eukaryotic LSU rRNA". It matches the Rfam family "Eukaryotic large subunit ribosomal RNA", at positions 66 to 915 of the family's 3401-position model. Lineage: Eukaryota; Fungi; Basidiomycota; Agaricomycetes; Hymenochaetales; Hymenochaetaceae. The record is from RNAcentral.